CCGUCAAUACCAGGACAGAAGCAUUCUCUCUUUUUUUUUUUUUAAUUUAACUUGUGAAAAAAAAUACAAACUCUCACUGAGGACAAUAACAUAGUAAUACAAAUUAACAUAAAUAUAAUAAAGUAAAAAAAAUCAUGGGGAUAUGGAUGGCAUGAACAAAAAAAUACAUUCAAAUACAAUACACUGUAAAUAAUCAGGCAAUUUAAAUUAAAGGAGCUGAGAUGUAACAUAGAAGAAUUUUUUUGAAAUUAAAGUAAGUAAUGAUCAAUGUUCUGGUUUAUUUUGAUUGCAAUUUUGUUUUUUUUUUCCAAUUUUCUUAGGGCCAAGACAAAAAUUUUAAAUUAGUUUAUAAAACCAGAAAAGGAGAGCUUAUUAUUUUUCAAUUUUACACAGUGGAUAUGAUAUUUUCCUAAUAAUAAAAUUAUAUUAAUAAUAUCUGAAAUAGAUGAGGCCAAAUUAUCAAUAUAAAAAAUAAUGAUAUAAUUCAAAAAAUGGAAUAUCAUUCAUUUUUAGUGAAAUCCAAUUUUUUUUAUGUCUGACCAAAAACCGUGUGAUGCAGGACAUAAGAAAAAUAAAUGUUCUAAAGUUUCAUCACUGUUAUUGCAGAAGGAGCACUGAUCCACCUCAAACUUAAACCUUUUCUUAAGGAACUCUGCUACAGGAUAAAUCCUGUUUAUGAUUUUAAAAUGAGUUUCUUUUACCUUUGGCAAGAUUGGCCAUUUCAUAAAUUUACAGUGUGCUUUGUUCAAUGUACCAGAUGUUAGUGAGGUGGGUCUGUGCCAUCUGAUCUCUGCAAUAAUCAUGAUACAACCUUGACUUCAAAAUAAUACUAAUGAAUCUAUUGUUACAUUUUCUUUCAAACAGAUUAGAUUCACCAAUCAAUAUUUUUGGUAAUGUUGGUAUAAAUGUAUUAUAAUUUAAGAAGUUUUGAAUCAGAUGGAUUAAAGGUAAAGGAAUCACUUUACACAUUUUGGUAUAUUCACUCAUAGAACAAUCUAUAUUGUAUUUUUCCACAAAAUCUGCAUAUCUUAGAAGGUUACCAUCACAAUCCAUUACAUCUGUAACAAAUAUAACAAUCUUUUGGUACCAAUCAUUUAUAAUAUUGAUUUCCUAUUCAAUGUAAUUACUUGAUUAUUCCAUAAAAUUGAAUUAUGAGGAGAAAAAUUGUGGGUAAAUAUCAUUUUCCAAAACUGCAGAGUCUGUUUAUGAAAAUUGGACAUCUUGAUCGGGAUCCUGUUCACAUCAAAAUCACAUUUCAAAACAAAAUCUAAACCUCCCAUUUUCUUAAACAAAGAUCUUGGAAUGUGGAACCACAUGGAGUUUGGCUGUAAUAAACAGGCUUUAAAACAGUUAAUUCUAAAUGUGCCAACCAUAGAUUCAAAAUCUGGGGCUUUAACACCACCUUUGUCAUAGUCCUUUACAAGCUGAGAUCUUUUUAUGUAGUGGGUUUUAUUUCUCUAGAAACUGGAAAAUAAUUGUGUUUGUUUUACGAAUAUUUUUAGAAGAGAUGAAUAAGGAGUGGCAAGGAUAAAUUAGUUUAGAAAUACCUUCAGCUUUAGAUAAAGUAAUUCUACCAAAGACUAAAAGGUCUCUGAUUAACCAGUGACUUAAUGUUUUUUUCAUAUCUAACAUACGGUUUGAGAUAUUAGUGUCUUCUCUUUUAAUAAAAUGUUUUGAUAAUGUUAUUCCUAAAUAUUUAACUCCAGAUACCACUUUAAUUAAGGAACUAUAAGAGUCACAGCUUGAAUGAAUGGGGAGUAGUUAACAUUUAUUAAUAUUAAGAGAUAAUCCUGAUGCUUUAGAAAAGACGGAGAUAGUGUUUAAAGUUUUAUCCACCAUUGAUUUGUCUUUUAAAAAGAUACAGGUAUUGUCUGCGAAUUGACUUAAAUUCCUUAUUGAAAAUAGUAAUUCCGUGUAUAUCCUUGGAAUUAUCAAUAAGCAGUGUUAAUAAUUGUGUUGCCAAAAUAAAAAGUUUCGGGGAGAUAGGGCAUCCCUGUCUAAUACCACGUAACACUUUAAAUCCAGGAGUUAAUCCUGGGUUCAGAGACACAGUGCUACUAAUGUCUGUGUAUAACAUUUGAACCAAUUUACAAAAAUUUACCCCAAAACCCAAAAAUUGUAAUGUUUUUAACAUAAAGGUGUGUUCCAUGGUAUCAAAGGCCUUGAAAAAGUCUAAAAAUAACACAUAACUGUCUGUUUUGAUAUACUCCCUGUAAUCUAAUAAAUUAAGGAUCAAUCUAGUAUGGUUAUGUAUGUUCCGACCUUUAACAAAGGCUGAUUGAUUUUCAUUAACUACUUUUGAUAGACCAAAAUCCAAUUUAUUUGAAUAAACAUGAGCUAACAGCUUGUAGUCAUUACAUAAUAGUGUUAUCGGUCUCCAAUUAUCAAGCAACAGUUUGUCCUUGUUGGGUUUUGGGAUUAGUGUGAUAACACCCCGUUUCAUAGUAGGUGACAGGUGUCCAGUUGAAAGACAUUCCUGGAAGGUAUGAAAAAGAAGUUCUCUAAUAUCAAUCCAAAAGUGAAUGUAAAACUCCACAGUCAGACCGUCAAGCCUUGGUGAUUUUCCUUUUGACAUUCAACUGAUUGCUAUAUCUAAUUCUUCAAUUCUAAGCUCGUCCUCCAUUUCUUGCUUAAAAUUUUCAUCAAUUAGUUUGUUAUAUUCAUGAAUUUUGUUGAAACAUAUUUGACAUUCAUCUUCUGAAAAUUGGGAUUUAUAUAAUUUGCUAUAAAAGUGCUUUAUUUCCACAUUGAUUUCGUCUUGGUUUUCAAUACUAAUAUUGUUAAUAAGCAAUUUAUUGAUUUUCUUUUUUUGUCUUUGUUUUUCCAGACUGAAGAAAUAUGAAGUAUUUUUUCACCUUCCUCCAACCAUCUAGCUUUUGAACGAAUGAAUGCUCCUUUUGCUUUUUCCAGAUAAAGAUUGUCUAGUUGGCUUUGCAGAUCAUUUAAUUUGAUUUGUUCUUCUAAUGUUAAAUUUGUCUUUUGACAUAACAUGUUUAUACCGUUGAUAAUGCCUUGUUUGGGUUUUUUUUUUUUAGCUUUGGAGAUGUUUUUACUUGUUCAGAUGGCAAUAUCUCUAAUUUUAAAUUUGAACCACUCCCAUUUACCCACAGGUGACAUUUCUAAAUUAUCGAUUUCUUUUAACAAAUUUUUGGUUUUAUUACAAAACUCCUCAUGUUCUAAAAGACUGCUAUUAAAUUUCCAUAAAGGGUUACAGACAGGCUUAAACCCAUUUAGCUGAAAGGAUACUGAGACUGCACAGUGGUCAGUUAGGGGUGAUGCUGAAAUUUCACAAUUUACAACUUCCUUAACAAGGUUGGUAGAGAUCAGCCAAAAGUCUAAUCUUGAGCAUUGUCCAUUGUUAGCAGAAUUGUACCAAGUAAACUGCUUAGCAUUUGUAUUUCUUGAUCUCCAACAGUCAAUUUAGUUUCCCUUAGGAAUAAAAUCAUGAAGAAUUUCCUCAUAGUUGUGGCUUUGUCCUCUUGAAGGAAGGUGAUCCAUCCAUAAGUCAGGGACCAAAUUAAAAUCUCCUCCAACAAUGACUUUGUCAGUAUUAUGAGUCACUUUCCAUUCCUCCAACAGUCUGCUCAAGGAAGAAUAACAGGAUUUGUUCUGUGCUCUAUUAUUAUAUCCAUAAGCACAUAACAGAAUAUAGUUGGCAUCAUUCAACUGUCACUAUUAGCCAAUGUCCAUUAAUGUCACCAGUGUGGUUAACUACGUUCCUGGAAAAUCUAUUGAGCUGGAUCAUUACUCCAGCUGAGUGUGAUGUCCCAUGGCUGUAGGAAACAUUGUCCCCCCCCAUUGUUGUUUCCAGAAGUUAACGUCAAUGAGUCUCUUGCAAAAAAAAAAAAAAAAAAAAAAAAAAAAAGUGUUCGUCUGCUCCUCACAAAAAAGAAAUGUUGUCUUGCGUUUCGUUUGAUUUUUUAAUCCCCUGGUAUUAAAAAAAAAAAAAAAAAAAAAAAAAAAAAAAAGAUGAUAACAUUCACCGUAUAAGCUUAACGGGUGUGCGCGAAGAAGGUGAUGCGCAGGAAUGAGUAGCUCCUGUGUCCAUAACAAAAUCUAACAUUAACAUUUAUUGCAGCAACCCCCUAAAAAUACCUGAACGUUAAUAGAGGCACUGAAAAAAGGUUAAUCCAUUUUGGAGCCAGAUAUACCUUGAAAUAAAUUGCUCACUCAGGCUCCACACAGCGGUUGUCAAUCAAAGCAUAUCCUUCUUUUAGGAACGCUCGUCUCCCCCUCUUCCUGGACCAAUGGCUAUAACUUAGCUCGAACCUCCCUGUCUUCUUUGGAAAAAUCCUCCUGGAAUCGAAUAUGUUUCUCUCUGCGCACUGGCACAUCCUUUGAUUUUUUCCACACUUCAUCCCUUAGGGUUCUCAUCCCGAACUGAAUUCAAAUUGCCUUCGGCGUAUUGUUUGAGGUGGCAGCGGUGUUUCUCUUACCCAGACGGUGGACACUGUCAACUGUGUCUCCACAGACAGCGGCACAACUCUGUACCUGCAAUAUUGCUGCCUCUCACGCUGCCAUCUUGGAUCCUUCUCGAGACAGAAGCAUUCACGUUCACAUCACAACCCUGCGAUGAACUGGCGACUUGUCCAGGGUGUACCCCGCCUUCGCCCC
Sphaeramia orbicularis (orbiculate cardinalfish) is the source of this 4614-nucleotide long non-coding RNA. RefSeq lists it as uncharacterized. The transcript is spliced from 3 exons. Lineage: Eukaryota; Metazoa; Chordata; Actinopteri; Kurtiformes; Apogonidae. The record is from RefSeq and is a predicted model, not a curated record.